RNAcentral lists this ribosomal RNA (451 nucleotides) under uncultured bacterium. Its description in RNAcentral is "partial 16S ribosomal RNA". It matches the Rfam family "Bacterial small subunit ribosomal RNA", at positions 354 to 796 of the family's 1533-position model. The record is from RNAcentral.
GUGGGGAAUAUUGGACAAUGGGGGGAACCCUGAUCCAGCCAUGCCGCGUGUGUGAAGAAGGCCUUUUGGUUGUAAAGCACUUUAAGAGAGGAGGAGGCUACCGAGAUUAAUACUCUUGGAUAGUGGACGUUACUCGCAGAAUAAGCACCGGCUAACUCUGUGCCAGCAGCCGCGGUAAUACAGAGGGUGCAAGCGUUAAUCGGAUUUACUGGGCGUAAAGCGCGCGUAGGUGGCCAAUUAAGUCAAAUGUGAAAUCCCCGAGCUUAACUUGGGAAUUGCAUUCGAUACUGGUUGGCUAGAGUAUGGGAGAGGAUGGUAGAAUUCCAGGUGUAGCGGUGAAAUGCGUAGAGAUCUGGAGGAAUACCGAUGGCGAAGGCAGCCAUCUGGCCUAAUACCGACACUGAGGUGCGAAAGCAUGGGGAGCAAACAGGAUUAGAUACCCGAGUAGUCC